GACGAACGCUGGCGGCGUGCUUAACACAUGCAAGUCGAACGGAAAGGCCUUGUUUUCGUGGGGUGCUCGAGUGGCGAACGGGUGAGUAACACGUGUGUAACGUGCCCUAGCUUUUGGGAACUCUUCAGGAAACUGGGGAUACUACCGGUUAGGCGCGCCUGCAGCGUGGUGGGGGUUGGAAAGUUUCGGCGGAUGGGGUUGGACUCGCGGCUGAUCGGCUUGCUGGUGGGCUAGUGGCUUACCAAGGCUUUGACGGGUAGCCGGCCUGAGAGGGUGGCCGGCCACAUGGGGACGACGAUACGGCCCAGACUCCGACGGGAGGCAGGAGUGGGGAGUAUUGCACUGAGGGCGGGAGGCUGAGGCGGCAACGCCGGGUGCGGGAUGACGGCCUUCGGGUGGUAAACCGCUUGCGCCUUUGACGGAGCGGUGGUGACGGUAGUGGGAGAAGAAGCACCGGCUAACUACGUG
This 468-nucleotide ribosomal RNA is filed under the name uncultured bacterium. RNAcentral describes it as "partial 16S ribosomal RNA". It matches the Rfam family "Bacterial small subunit ribosomal RNA", at positions 28 to 507 of the family's 1533-position model. The record is from RNAcentral.